GACGUAGGGCGCGAGCGUUGUCCGGAUUUAUUGGGCGUAAAGAGCUCGUAGGCGGCUCGUUGCGUCGGCUGUGAAAACCCGCAGCUCAACUGUGGGCUUGCAGCUGAUACGGGCGGGCUGGGAUUCGGUAGGGGAGACUGGAACUCCUGGUGUAGCGGUGAAAUGCGCAGAUAUCAGGAGGAACACCGGUGGCGAAGGCGGGUCUCUGGGCCGAUAUCGACGCUGAGGAGCGAAAGCGUGGGGAGCGAACAGG
This 253-nucleotide ribosomal RNA is filed under the name uncultured bacterium. RNAcentral describes it as "partial 16S ribosomal RNA". It matches the Rfam family "Bacterial small subunit ribosomal RNA", at positions 524 to 776 of the family's 1533-position model. The record is from RNAcentral.